CAGAUUCGAGGUGCUGUGAGAUUACGUCGCGUUGCUCUGCCUCUUCCCGUUUGCUGUGCAAGUGUCAUUGUGAUGGCAGCAUCACCAGAUCACAGAUGUAUUUAGGUGUGGGCUGUGAGGACAACAGCCAAAUCCCAGACUUCCCUCUGUCUGCCCACCUCCUCCACCUCUUCUGGGGGAACACCAGGGCGUUCCCAAGCCAACAAAAAGAUUUAAUCUCUUUGGCAUGCCCCCAGCCUUCACCCUGGACUUCCACCUGGAUUCAAGCCCCAAGAGAAGUGGUUCAUUUGUCAACACCGUACGAAGAUCAUCAGUGUGCAAG
Oreochromis aureus is the source of this 322-nucleotide long non-coding RNA. RefSeq lists it as uncharacterized. The transcript has 3 exons. Lineage: Eukaryota; Metazoa; Chordata; Actinopteri; Cichliformes; Cichlidae. The record is from RefSeq and is a predicted model, not a curated record.